UACUGCUAUCGGUGUUCGACUAAGCCAUGCUAGUUAAAUGUUCUUCGUGAACAUAGCGGACUGCUCAGUAACACGUGGACAAUCUGCCCUUGGGUUCAGCAUAACCCCGGGAAACUGGGGAUAAUUCUGAAUAGAUCACAUAUGCUGGAAUGCUUUGUGAUUAAAAGAUCCGUCGCCCAAGGAUGGGUCUGCGGCCUAUCAGGUUGUAGUGGGUCUAGAGUACCUACUAGCCAACGACGGGUACGGGUUGUGAGAGCAAGAGCCCGGAGAUGGAUUCUGAGACAUUAAUCCAGGCCCUACGGGGCGCAGCAGGCGCGAAACCUUUACACUGCGGGAAACCGCGAUAAGGGGACACCGAGUGCCAGCAUACAAUGCUGGCUGUCCACAUGUGUAAAUAGCAUGUGAUAGCAAGGGCCGGGCAAGACCGGUGCCAGCCGCCGCGGUAACACCGGCGGCCCGAGUGGUAAUCACUAUUAUUGGGUCUAAAGGUCCGUAGCCGGUUUAAUCAGUCUUCCGGGAAAUCUGACAGCUCAACUGUUAGGCUACCGGGGGAUACUGUUAGACUUGGGA
Molecule: ribosomal RNA, 570 nt
Filed under: uncultured archaeon
Lineage: Archaea
Description: bacterial SSU rRNA
Rfam family: Archaeal small subunit ribosomal RNA
Source: RNAcentral